RNAcentral lists this transfer RNA (63 nucleotides) under Rattus norvegicus (Norway rat). It matches the Rfam family "tRNA". From Rfam's summary of the family: Transfer RNA (tRNA) molecules are approximately 80 nucleotides in length. Lineage: Eukaryota; Metazoa; Chordata; Mammalia; Rodentia; Muridae. The record is from Rfam by way of RNAcentral.
GGGGAUUUAGCUCAGUGGUAGAGCACUUGCCUAGCAAGUGCAAGACCCUGGGCUCAGUCCUCA